This 253-nucleotide ribosomal RNA is filed under the name uncultured bacterium. RNAcentral describes it as "partial 16S ribosomal RNA". It matches the Rfam family "Bacterial small subunit ribosomal RNA", at positions 524 to 776 of the family's 1533-position model. The record is from RNAcentral.
UACGGGGGGAGCAAGCGUUGUUCGGAUUCAUUGGGCGUAAAGGGCGCGUAGGCGGCUUGGCAAGUCCGACAUGAAAUGUACCGGUUCAACCGGGGCACUGUGUCGGAAACUGCCUGGCUUGAGGUCGAGGGAGGAGAGUGGAAUUCCUGGUGUAGCGGUGAAAUGCGUAGAUAUCAGGAAGAACACCCGUGGCUAAGGCGGUUCUCUAGUACGGUACUGACGCUGAGACGCGAAAGCGUGGGGAGCGAACAGG